UAGAGUUUGAUCCUGGCUCAGAACGAACGCUGGCGGCAGGCUUAACACAUGCAAGUCGAACGCCCCUUACGGGGAGUGGCAGACGGGUGAGUAACGCGUGGGAAUCUACCCAUCUCUACGGAAUAACUCAGGGAAACUUGUGCUAAUACCGUAUACGCCCUUUGGGGGAAAGAUUUAUCGGAGAUGGAUGAGCCCGCGUUGGAUUAGCUAGUUGGUGGGGUAAAGGCCUACCAAGGCGACGAUCCAUAGCUGGUCUGAGAGGAUGAUCAGCCACAUUGGGACUGAGACACGGCCCAAACUCCUACGGGAGGCAGCAGUGGGGAAUAUUGGACAAUGGGCGCAAGCCUGAUCCAGCCAUGCCGCGUGAGUGAUGAAGGCCCUAGGGUUGUAAAGCUCUUUCACCGAUGAAGAUAAUGACUGUAGUCGGAGAAGAAGCCCCGGCUAACUUCGUGCCAGCAGCCGCGGUAAUACGAAGGGGGCUAGCGUUGUUCGGAAUUACUGGGCGUAAAGCGCACGUAGGCGGGUAUUUAAGUCAGGGGUGAAAUCCCGGAGCUCAACUCCGGAACUGCCUUUGAUACUGGGUACCUAGAGUAUGGAAGAGGUAAGUGGAAUUCCGAGUGUAGAGGUGAAAUUCGUAGAUAUUCGGAGGAACACCAGUGGCGAAGGCGGCUUACUGGUCCAUUACUGACGCUGAGGUGCGAAAGCGUGGGGCGCAAACAGGAUUAGAUACCCUGGUAGUCCACGCCGUAAACGAUGAAUGUUAGCCGUCGGCAUGCAUGCAUGUCG
This 786-nucleotide ribosomal RNA is filed under the name bacterium enrichment culture clone SC-2_79. RNAcentral's name for it is "bacterial SSU rRNA". It matches the Rfam family "Bacterial small subunit ribosomal RNA", at positions 1 to 842 of the family's 1533-position model. The record is from RNAcentral.